UAAAAACCCCGACUUCGGAAGGGGUGUAUUUAUUAGAUACAAAACCAAUGCCCUUCGGGGCUCUUUGGUGAUUCAUGAUAACUAUACGAAUCGCACGGCCUUGCGCCGGCGAUGGUUCAUUCAAAUUUCUUCCCUAUCAACUUUCGAUGUUUGGGUAUUGGCCAAACAUGGUUGCAACGGGUAACGGAGGGUUAGGGCUCGACCCCGGAGAAGGAGCCUGAGAAACGGCUACUACAUCCAAGGAAGGCAGCAGGCGCGCAAAUUACCCAAUCCCGACUCGGGGAGGUAGUGACAAUAAAUACUGAUACAGGGCCCUUACGGGCCUUGUAAUUGGAAUGAGUACAAUUUAAAUCCCUUAACGAGGAACAAUUGGAGGGCAAGUCUGGUGCCAGCAGCCGCGGUAAUUCCAGCUCCAAUAGCGUAUAUUAAAGUUGUUGUGGUUAAAAAGCUCGUAGUUGAACCUUGGGCCUGGCUGGCCGGUCCGCCUCACCGCGUGCACUGGUCCGGCCGGGCCUUUCCCUCUGUGGAACCCCAUACCCUUCACUGGGCGUGGCGGGGAAACAGGACGUUUACUUU
RNAcentral lists this ribosomal RNA (576 nucleotides) under uncultured eukaryote. RNAcentral describes it as "SSU rRNA". It matches the Rfam family "Eukaryotic small subunit ribosomal RNA", at positions 174 to 758 of the family's 1831-position model. The record is from RNAcentral.